AUGAGACCAACUGAUUCGCCAUUUUGGAAGGGGCUUAUGAGAGUUAAGUCAGCCUUCUUUAAUAGAACAAAGUUUAUAGUCGGAGCUGGUAACGAUACUCGCUUCUGGGAGGACACUUGGCUUGGUGAGACACCUUUGGCAUUACAGUACCCAUCUCUGUAUCAUAUUGUGAAUCGCCGUGACGCGCUUGUGGCGACGAUUAUGCAGGCCACCCCUCUUAAUAUUCAGUUUAGGAGGGUGCUUGUUGGUAAUAGAUGGGAAGCUUGGCUUCAUCUAGUGCGUAGACUGAUGGAGGUUCAGCUACAACAUCAGCCCGAUCAGUUGUGUUGGAAACUUACUAGGUCUGGACAAUUUACCGUUAAAUCGAUGUACAUCGAUGUUAUUAACUCGAGUGUCAUUCCUAACUCCAAACAUGUUUGGAAAGUCAAAGUUCCUUUGAAAAUCAAAGUGUUUAUGUGGUUUGUCCAUAAACAGGUUAUUCUAACAAAGGACAACUUGUUAAGCGCAAUUGGACAGGAUCUAUUAGGUGUAGUUUCUGUGAUCGGGAUGAAACCAUCAAGCAUCUAUUCUUUGAGUGCCCGUUGGCAAGGAUUUUGUGACGCUCAGUGCAAAUUGCUUUUAACAUUACUCCUCCGAGUUCGGUCGGGUCCUUAUUUGGAACGUGGCUGGAUGGGAUAG
This 678-nucleotide ribosomal RNA is filed under the name Triticum aestivum (bread wheat). Its description in RNAcentral is "partial small subunit ribosomal RNA". The record is from RNAcentral. Lineage: Eukaryota; Viridiplantae; Streptophyta; Magnoliopsida; Poales; Poaceae.